Molecule: ribosomal RNA, 809 nt
Filed under: uncultured bacterium
Lineage: Bacteria
Description: bacterial SSU rRNA
Rfam family: Bacterial small subunit ribosomal RNA
Source: RNAcentral
GCAGUCGAGCGAACACUUUGCUUAGAUUCUUCGGAUGAAGAGGAUUGUGACUGAGCGGCGGACGGGUGAGUAACGCGUGGGUAACCUGCCUCAUACAGGGGGAUAACAGUUAGAAAUGACUGCUAAUACCGCAUAAGACCACAGCACCGCAUGGUGCGGGGGUAAAAACUCCGGUGGUAUGAGAUGGACCCGCGUCUGAUUAGCUAGUUGGUAAGGUAACGGCUUACCAAGGCGACGAUCAGUAGCCGACCUGAGAGGGUGACCGGCCACAUUGGGACUGAGACACGGCCCAAACUCCUACGGGAGGCAGCAGUGGGGAAUAUUGCACAAUGGGGGAAACCCUGAUGCAGCGACGCCGCGUGAGCGAAGAAGUAUUUCGGUAUGUAAAGCUCUAUCAGCAGGGAAGAAAAUGACGGUACCUGACUAAGAAGCACCGGCUAAAUACGUGCCAGCAGCCGCGGUAAUACGUAUGGUGCAAGCGUUAUCCGGAUUUACUGGGUGUAAAGGGAGCGUAGACGGAUGGGCAAGUCUGAUGUGAAAACCCGGGGCUCAACCCCGGGACUGCAUUGGAAACUGUUCAUCUAGAGUGCUGGAGAGGUAAGUGGAAUUCCUAGUGUAGCGGUGAAAUGCGUAGAUAUUAGGAGGAACACCAGUGGCGAAGGCGGCUUACUGGACAGUAACUGACGUUGAGGCUCGAAAGCGUGGGGAGCAAACAGGAUUAGAUACCCUGGUAGUCCACGCCGUANACGAUGACUNCUAGGUGUCGGGUGGCAAAGCCAUUCGGUGCCGCAGCAAACGCAAUAAGUAGU